GCCCGUGCCGCUGCUGCCGUGGUCGGGCUGCCGGCCCGGGGAGGGAGGGGGCGGCGGCGGAAGCUGGGCCGGGUGCCGGCUCCUCCCGACCGCUGCGAAUGGCGAGGAGCCGGGCGGGUUCCGGGCAGGCGGUGCUCGCCCCGUCCCCGGGGAGCGGGGCUCCGGUGCGCGGAGCCGGGGCAGCGGUCCUGCCGAGCCGAGGGGUAGGUGAGCAUCCCUCGGCGGGAAACCUUUCGAGAGGGAAAGGGGAUGCUGCCGUUUCAUUUCCUUGCUGGUGAAGGGAAGCAAAGGAGGUGGAGCUCAGGGUAAAUCCCAAUGGCCCGUUAAGGGCAAAGAGAUUUCUGGGAUGGCUUUUCGUGUCGUGGCCCAGGAAUUUCCUUCAGGGACUUCAGAGGAGUCUCGUGAUUGUGCCCAGCAAGAGUCCUCUGAGCUGAGGGCUGAGCACAGCUGAGCAGGUACGGCUGUCUCCUUGGCUAUUGCCGGCACAGUAUGCUAAAGGGAGUGUUCGCUAGCAACAAAACUGGCCUCUGGUUGGGUAUGCCUUGCCAGAAGAGGAGUAAGAACUGUGUCCUGCUCAGUCGGCUAAUCCCCUGCCCAUGGAAGGAUUUGGGUAAGAUGAUCUCAUGAAGACCUGCCUGGGAUGCUAUAAUUAAUUCUGACUGCAUCAGUCUACAGUUUGUACAUCUAUCAGAGUGGUUUGUACAAAAAAGCAAGCAAGCAGUUUACUAAUCCAGCUCUUUGAAACUCAAGGACAGCCCAAGAAAGAAGGCAAAAGAAGAGUUUGGGGUAUGAUAUCCUAGCCCCAGGUGGGGUACAUGUGCAGCCAACAAUGUCUAACUGUUGCUGGAGGAAAACAGAGGAAUAAAAAAACUCCAGCCGCAUGACUGGGAAGAUCAGGUCAUUUGGUGUGCAACAGCUGCUAACGUGAGAGGUAUUCAUAUACGAACAAGCAAUAAACAGGUACCUGACUGCUUGUCACAAUUCAAGAAGUGUCACUGACAGCUUCAGCCUUUGUGGCUAUAGCAUGAAGGCUAGAUUUUAUGAAGCUGGAAUUGCUAAAAGGAAACUAACAGAGCCAGGAACUAAAUUCUCACUGAAUGUGGAUGAGAACUGUAAGCACACUGGAAAUCCCAGCCUACAGGUAUAAUGCUUAACACUGCUACUUUAUCUGUGUAGGAAAAGAGAAAAGCUACUUUCUAGAGCUAACAGAAAAGUGAAACUCUAAAUAGAUGGAAAGACAGAUCAUCACAAUUAUUUAAAAAUAAAUAAGGGGAUUUAAAUAUAUCAAUAAUGGAAUCACUGGGCCCAGUUCUCUUACUAUUCUCAGUUGCUAUUAAUACCCUGGAGACUGAAGACGCAAAGUUCUUGUCAGAAACUAGCGCCAAAAUGAUUUUGCAAAUGGGGAGGACAACUGUCUGCAGUAGACACUUACGUGAAAUAGAAAUUUGGUGAGACCGUAGAAUGACACUUUGCAAAAGGACCAUUUGAGUCAGUCAGGAUUUGACAUCUCGAAGUUCUGUUUUCUUGCCCCAGCUGAUUUGCAUUGCAGCCUUGGAAGAGUCCUGGAUCUGGUUCCUCCUCAGACUCAUCUUUUGAGUUGAUGUCUCGUCUGUAAAUUAAGUCAUUACGAAACCAUCAGUGCUCUGUACAUACAGCAUUCAUGGUACUACUCUCUAAGUAACACCAUAAGAGUACUUCUGCCUUGUGGUGUAAGUGUAAGCUUAUUUCUUUCUCAUGAUUUAUCCUGAAUGGGAAGGAGAUAGAUAAAGCAGAUCAAAGAUGUACUAAAACACUUCCUACCAUCUCAGAGAUUUAUGGGUAUUUAAAUCAAAAGGGAUAUCUGUCUCUUUGGAAAUUCUGCAUGACACAGGCUUCAUCAAUGCCUCCUUCAUCCAAUCUAUUCAAUAAAGUUUGAACAUUAGUCAGAAUGAUGCAGCUGGAAUAGACCACUAUUUCUUGGACAUAUGCUCACUUUCACUGAACAAGUGGCUACAUGCCUGAAGUGCCAGAAUUCUGUAGGCAUAGCCUCCAGAGCCCCUUUAUGCUCAACACCAGCCUACAUACUGCUUUCUACUAUUCUGGCAGACUAGUUUUUGCGGCUAGAUUAUAACCUGACGGCUAAUACAAUUCCAUUUACUUGCUGAAAAAGUUCUGUGUUAGUGGCUAAGCAACCUCCAAAGGUCUUUCAAAGCAAAUUGAGAAAGACAGAAAGAAAGACAGGAAGGAAGACAAGAAGGAAGAAGGGAAGGAAGAAAGGAGGAAGGAAGGGAGGGAGGAAGGGAGGAAACUUCUUUCCCUACCUGUUUCAAUAUUCUGUAUGGACUAAUUAGCACAGAGUUUGCCUGACCACAAAUAUCCUCUUUUAUAUUCAGAAGAAUGUCCUUACUUUUUGUGUAUUGGCAGAAAACACUAGAUAGCCAUGAAAGUAAGGAAAUCAGAUUCUUUAAGAACCUCUUCUGGAAGGAAUUGUGAAUUCAUCUUGAUGGAUUUCAAAGCUACCUUCAUGUUCCAGAGUGAGGGAUGACACUGAACCAGGAUUUGCCUCAGGCCCAUCCAGCACAACAUGAUGUAUUUAUCUUUUCCAGGAACCAUGAGCUUAGCAAAGAUCUUAUUCAUCCCUGUGCCCUAGCCGUUGUAAUGGCUGUGGCUCUAAAGAGGGAUACUGAACUGGAGUAAUGAAGUGAUAGUUCAGGCCUCUGGUGAGAUAGAAGGGCACUGAUAGUUCACCUUAGUGAUGAGAAGAAGUCCCUACACACAGUCCAAGGGAAGAAGAAAGACCAGAAAUAAGACAGUGUAGUUAUUCCUGGAUAUUAACUAUGGCUUAAUUCUCUCACUACCAGUGGCUGUGCUUGCCAUGGAUAUUAAGUAGAAAAUUAAGUACCUGAGACGAGAUGUUGUUCUUUUCAGAGGAACUUUCCAGCUCUCACCAAAUACAUUCACGUUCUUCACCCAAACACCAUUUGGACUUGUGAAGUCAUUUCUAUGUCUCCCAUCAAAGUCACCACACAAGCCUUCCACUCUGCUUCUGUAGGUAUUGGCCAGCUUUAUAUCUAGGGAAGUUCAGAAGAAAAAAAAAGCCAUUACACAGAAAUCCUUGCUUUUGAGUGUAUGAAAGAGGUGGAAAGCAGUGCCAAGAACCACAUUUCAUGAUUCAGACUGGAGUUGGUAAUGUGACACGAGCCUCGUAUGUAGGAUAUGAACACAGUCCUGAACAUACAUGUUCAUACAUCUAUUCACAGGACUGUUUCUGUGCUCUGCAACAUGGAUCAUGAAAAAAGUUAUUUCUUGAAGCCGAUAAGGUAUUAUAUAACAUCACAUCACCACCUGAGUGCUCUUAGUGCAUACUGCUUACUGCUUUGCAACAAACUGAAUGCAUCACCCACUUUUUGCCCUUCAUGUACAAUCCACUUGCUCGUUGAGAAACAGAAAUCCUAUAAAACAGACCUUUUCUUUCUGCAGUUGGAAUUUUAGGGUUUGGAAUGAUGGUCAUCUGUAUAAAUGGCCUGGCACUUUCACCAUACACUCAGAAAUAACAUGGCUAUAUUCUGUUGUAAAUCAGGAGUAACUGUGCUUUGAACAGAGGAGAUAAUAUGUGUUCAACUUACAUGAGUUGUGUAUAUGUGAUAUGAGUCCUGCUGAGAAACGCUAAAGAAUGGGAUUAUCUGGAACAGACUUGAGAAGAAGCAUGUAAAAGGAUGCCUCACAGCUGUAUAGCUUGAGGACCUCAGUCCUAUGACCAGGUUAAGCUGGCAAAGGGGCAGAUCCAGACUUCACCCCAUCAUCCUGAUCAGCAAUUUAAGUGAUUUGCUUUUGUUUAUAUCACUCAGGCCUUACUUAACAUAGCAAAAGUUAGAACAGUCUGACUCUCCAUCUCAUUUCUCCUAAGUUCAGGUGGAUCCAGAUAAAGAAAUGCCAGUUUUAUGGUUUUUCUCGUUCCUGGGAAACAUUUUUGUUUUAAUAUUCUGGAAGUUCAUACCACAAGGGGACAUAGGCUCAAAGGGCAACGUUUCUAAUUUGGCUUGGGUUUAGACCUCCUUUGGAAUGAGAACAUUUUUUGAGACAGUGCAUAAAUAUUCCUGCACAUUGUCUUGGUAUCACUUACCUGCAUUUUGAUUGCCAUCAAAGCUCAGGUGUAAGCCAAAAUCUGUCUCCAGGUAAAUUCUUCUUGUCCUCUGAUAUAUACGAAUACCUUCAUGAGGACGAACAGGGGGUCUCACCCUCACACCAUCCAACUGACGGGGAAAGAAUAAGUUACAAUUCAUAAUAUAUAGGCCAAAUUAAAAUCUGGCUUCAGUACAGAUCAAUGCUACAAAUCAACACUCCUCUUCUCUAGUUUUAUGAUAAAUAUAUCAGAUAAUUUAACCAGGUAAAAAACCUCAGUAUUCAGUUUUUUAAAGUUAACAAAAUCAUGUUUUGAGGAAGGUGAUCUGGACACAGUAUUUUCAUAUCACCCUAAGAGAUUUCUACUAUUGGGCUAAAAAUGUAUAUAUGAGCUAUGUAUACUCUUACGCACCAAUAGGAAGGAAAUGAAGAUUUCCUAGCAUAAUUCACAAUUUUUCCUACCACUGAUAAAAAUUUGUAUGGCUUUAUUUUAAGUCUUGGGAUAUUUGGUGUUUUAUUGCUAAAUCUCUAUUUAUUCAUUUAUUUGUUUGAAGUAGAAUUAUAUCCUUCAUAACUAUAGAGAAAAAAGACUCGACAACUGCAAAUCACCUUUGUGGUUGCCCCAUUGCACUGCUGUAAUAAUACAGUUAGCUUUAAUACUUCAAUUCUUCAAAACAGACAUUUUUUACUCAAAAGUGUUUUACUCUAAGGGAGGGCCUUUCUCUGUGCUCUGCAGUCGGUGAGAGACUUACCACAAGCUGCUUGUUCUGCCUGAAUCGCACUGUGUGAUUGUAAACAUUGACGAGAAUCUCUUUCAGGUAAGUAAUGCGUCGACUUCGACGAAAAGGAUAGUUCAUGCCUUCAAUGCUGAACUGCGUCAGAGUAUCAGGUAGGUCAGGGAUGGUCUGAGCCAGAAUAUAUGUGUAUUUCCCUUGAAAGUGGUGCACCAGACCAUCGAAAGUGAUGUAGUGUGGGUCGCCCAUGAUCUGGCAUUUCCCAAAACCUAGAGGGGGAGAGCUUCAUUACUCUCCAGUCUGAAUGACAAUGUGCCAGAUCCCAUGCGUGGAUCAGUUUAAAAUAAGUUAGAUAAAAAUGAUUGCUGCUGACAUGCAGGUCUCCAAGUAAAGAUGGGUGCUCAGGCAUCACCCUAGUGAAUGGGCACUCAAAUGGAGAGAUGGCCAGAGAAACUCAUUCCUAUGCUGAGAACCAGUGCAAGCCAACUGAACUGAAGCAGAACAUUAGGGUUUAUAGGCUUUAUAGAGACUGGGUUGUGCACAUUGGUCCUCUGCAGAGGAAUGACUCUGCCACACAGCAUGGCUUGCAGUGGGCUUUUAGAGAUGUUGGUUUCAUAAUCCUCAGCAAUGUGUUGCUAUAAAAUUACUGGAACUUGAAAAGCAAUGUCUAAUUUUGGCUGGCUUGCUGCUGUCACAGUGAUUUCUUCUGAGGUUACUAAAUUGAUCAUUGGGUUCACCAGCCCUAACAAUCAGACGCAGCGACUAUCAUCUAAGUAUUCUCCUUGACCACUGAGCGCAGAGCAAACCAUUAUCCUAGGAGCAAGGCUCUCCUUAAGACUGCUGGGGUGCCUCUGCUGUGGUAUUUUGCCAAAAUGGAGCAGGGGGGAGCUGGAUUUGCAUUAUGCCCUUGUACUGAUCAAUACAGUAGGACCAAUGCCAUACUAUUCUUCAAAAUUGAAGUGUAGAGUCACUAGGCAACAAGCUACCUCCUAAACAAUCCAAUUUACCUAGAGAAUAUGCAAUUAACUUUGCUUAGCCAAAAGAACUAUCAAACGAAAAACACCCACGUUCUCCGACUGGCCCAUUACGUAUCUGUUCAGAUCUGCUCUGUCCUGUUUUGCCUUUAUAUUUUUCUGUUCUCAAAUCAACAUGCAAUGGAAAGAACAGGAUCAUUGCCAAAGGAUUCACAGACAUAUCUGAGUUUUGUUUUUGGCAGAUACAAUGCAAAUUUUUUUUCUUUUUUUUUUUUUUAUUUAAACUAGUCAGACUGAACUGUCAAAUUUCUAGAUGUAAGUAAAUUUUCAAACUCUUGUUCCAAUGCCCUCUACAAAGUCUCUGUCUUGUACUGGAACUUUCUGUUCUGAGAACUUUUUCUGUUCAAUAAUGUGUCGUCAAUAGCACUGUCAGAGCUGCCGCCUUUCCCUGUGGAAAAGACUGGAAGUGCCACGGAAGAAAGAAUGGACAUCCACAUCCUUCCUCCUUCUCCAGCCCUCAUGGAACACCAAGUGAAGACCUGCCUGCACAUACCUGUUGGAUUGCACUUGUGUUUUCCAUUUUUGAUCACACAGGUUUCUCUAGAAUCACAGCUAUGGCUCUUGCAUUUGAUGACACCGUUCUUGUGACACUGGCAUCUUUUGGUGCAGUGUGGAGUUAUCCAGGUCUCCCCAGCCUGAACACAAGUUGCGUUAAUAGUAUGUUAUCAAGGUGCUCAGCUUUACAAUGCAAUAAAAGUUCAAUAGCAAAGGGUGUGGGGGCUGGCUACAUGCAACAUGUCCAGAUGGUGAUUCCACAACUGCUCAAUCCAGGUGUAGUCUCACCAAGAGGUGGUGUUCCCAGUCCAUUUAUCUUAUUGUCUUUGACAUGAGAAUUUGAACACAAAACAGGACUAGGACAGACUGCUUGAAUAACUCUGAUCAAUUGACUAGUUUUGAAUAUGCCUCAAUUUUGGCCUCAGGUGUGAAGUACCAAGCUCCUGCAUCUCCUAAUACAUGAGCCUGCAGCUUUUACUAAUCAGAUGAAAGGUUUUUAAGAGGUAGACCCUGAAGAUUUCUUUCUCUCUCAUUCAAAUGGACAGGAGACCAACUUUCUGCAAGUUUUGCAGCCAGAGAUUUGCUCCAGGGACAAAUUACUUACACUGUAGUAAUUGUUGUCAUCAUCCCUGCAGCCACAAUUGCUUAGAGGUACACACUUGCCAUUACUGAGCACAUAAUUAUUAUCACAUUCACAGCCCUCAAUGCACUCUUCUGUCUUCUCACAAAGUGAGGAGGCAAAAAUGUCAUUGCAUGUUGAUGGGCAGGUGGAGACACAGUCUGUGUAAUGGCUGUGGUGUGGACAGGGCAAUGCUGUGUGGGUGGAGAACAGAACCAGCAUUAUUACAUACAUUUAGAAAGUGCACUGCAAACACAUGUGCCUAGCUGAAAGCUACAACUUGGCCUAUAAAAUGGUAGUAUAGAAUUGCCUUUUAAUAGCUGAAUUUGAUCAUCAACCAGUUUUGAUUUUUUAUAUUUUAUUUAAAAACCCAACAAAAUCAAAACAGAGAACCCUCUCUGGAGCUGCUGAUUCAGUUCUAUUACAGGUAUGCCUGAAAUGGUGGCACCUGGCACUAGAUCAUUCAGAUUCAGUAAUCCAGUUCAGCUUCAAAUGCCUCUUUGGGCACUGCUAGAAAUGAGAAUCUUUACGGCAAAUUCCUUAGAAUGUUCAACCCUCCAGUGAUGCAAAAUAGGUGUAUAUCUAGCUUAACCACAGGCAUAAACACAUGCAAGAACAACAGAUAUCCAUUGUCAGACUGAAGAUUCAUCUAGCUCUAUACCCUAUUUCUGCCAAUGACUAGAGAUGCAUAAGGGGACAGUUCAAGAAACAGGGUAGCAGGACAAAGGGUUCGUUUGUCCAGUAUUUUCCUCCACUUGUGGCAAGGAGGCAACUAGGAAUUUCUGAUGGACCUAUUCAACAUUCAUCUGGCUUGUUUUUUAACCAGUUAAUUGUUUUGUCCUCCACAACAUUAUGUGAUAAUUAAUUCCACAAUGUAAUACUAAAUUGUGAAAAAACAACAAAAAGAAACCCACUGUGUAAUCUUUACUCAUUGUUACAUAAUUUGUUUGUAGCUUUGUUGAAUGGGUGGAGUGAGGCACAUACACUGGAAAUUAAUCUGAGAAUGUGGCCCCUAAUAAGCAACUGGCCAAAUUGUCAGUUUUCAUUCAAAACACAGUGUCAUCGAGCCCUGUGUCCUAACACAGUAUCCCACUUCGUUUUAGUCUUCUUUAGUCUGGUUGUAUUAUUCCUCCAUUUUAGGCUCAUUGCAACGUAUCAUGACACUCAUUUGGCUACUAAAGCCAUUCUAACUCCACAUUACUAUCCAUAACUUGUCUAGUCCUGAGUUAUAACUGGGUUUAGCUCAACCUGAACACAGUUCAGUGCAACAAUGGAGUCAUUAAAUCAUAAUAAUAGAAUUGCA
Harpia harpyja (harpy eagle) is the source of this 8286-nucleotide long non-coding RNA. RefSeq lists it as uncharacterized. Lineage: Eukaryota; Metazoa; Chordata; Aves; Accipitriformes; Accipitridae. The transcript has 6 exons. The record is from RefSeq and is a predicted model, not a curated record.